This 315-nucleotide ribosomal RNA is filed under the name uncultured Flavobacterium sp. RNAcentral's name for it is "bacterial SSU rRNA". It matches the Rfam family "Bacterial small subunit ribosomal RNA", at positions 9 to 326 of the family's 1533-position model. Lineage: Bacteria; Pseudomonadati; Bacteroidota; Flavobacteriia; Flavobacteriales; Flavobacteriaceae. The record is from RNAcentral.
GAGUUUGAUCUUGGCUCAGGAUGAACGCUAGCGGCAGGCUUAACACAUGCAAGUCGAGGGGUAUAGGUUUUCGGACCUAGAGACCGGCGCACGGGUGCGUAACGCGUAUGUAAUCUACCUUUUACAGAGGGAUAGCCCAGAGAAAUUUGGAUUAAUACCUCAUAGUAUAAUGACUCGGCAUCGAGAUAUUAUUAAAGUUCCAACGGUAAAGAUGAGCAUGCGUCCCAUUAGCUAGAUGGUAAGGUAACGCUUACCAUGGCGACGAGUGGGUACGGGUCCUGAGGAGGGAGACUCCCCCACACUGGUACUGAGACA